RNAcentral lists this ribosomal RNA (229 nucleotides) under uncultured bacterium. RNAcentral's name for it is "partial 16S ribosomal RNA". It matches the Rfam family "Bacterial small subunit ribosomal RNA", at positions 568 to 796 of the family's 1533-position model. The record is from RNAcentral.
CGUGUAGGCGGAUGGGUCAGUCAGAUGUGAAAUCCCAGGGCUUAACCUUGGGCCUGCAUUUGAUACUGCUCAUCUAGAGUAUGGGAGAGGAGAUCGGAAUUCCUGGUGUAGCGGUGAAAUGCGUAGAUAUCAGGAAGAACACCGGUGGCGAAGGCGGAUCUCUGGCCUAAUACUGACGCUGAGGCGCGAAAGCUGGGGGAGCAAACAGGAUUAGAUACCCUGGUAGUCC